RNAcentral lists this ribosomal RNA (637 nucleotides) under uncultured bacterium. Its description in RNAcentral is "bacterial SSU rRNA". It matches the Rfam family "Bacterial small subunit ribosomal RNA", at positions 607 to 1244 of the family's 1533-position model. The record is from RNAcentral.
GCUCAACCGGGGAGGGUCAUUGGAAACUGGGAAACUUGAGUGCAGAAGAGGAGAGUGGAAUUCCACGUGUAGCGGUGAAAUGCGUAGAGAUGUGGAGGAACACCAGUGGCGAAGGCGACUCUCUGGUCUGUAACUGACGCUGAGGAGCGAAAGCGUGGGGAGCGAACAGGAUUAGAUACCCUGGUAGUCCACGCCGUAAACGAUGAGUGCUAAGUGUUAGGGGGUUCCCGCCCCUUAGUGCUGCAGCUAACGCAUUAAGCACUCCGCCUGGGGAGUACGGUCGCAAGACUGAAACUCAAAGGAAUUGACGGGGGCCCGCACAAGCGGUGGAGCAUGUGGUUUAAUUCGAAGCAACGCGAAGAACCUUACCAGGUCUUGACAUCCUCUGACAACCCUAGAGAUAGGGCUUUCCCUUCGGGGACAGAGUGGCAGGUGGUGCAUGGUUGUCGUCAGCUCGUGUCGUGAGAUGUUGGGUUAAGUCCCGCAACGAGCGCAACCCUUGAUCUUAGUUGCCAGCAUUCAGUUGGGCACUCUAAGGUGACUGCCGGUGACAAACCGGAGGAAGGUGGGGAUGACGUCAAAUCAUCAUGCCCCUUAUGACCUGGGCUACACACGUGCUACAAUGGACAGAACAAAG